CCCUUAGAUGUCCGGGGCUGCACGCGCGCUACACUGAAGGAAUCAGCGUGCUAAAACCAUUGUCGAAAGGCAUUGGUAAACCCAUUAAAAUCCUACGUGAUUGGGAUCGGGAAUUGCAAUUAUUUCCCUUGAACGAGGAAUUCCCAGUAAGUUUGGGUCAUAAGCUCGCGUUGAUUACGUCCCUGCCCUUUGUACACACCGCCCGUCGCUGCCCGGGACUGAGCCGUUUCGAGAAAAGCGGGGACUGCUGCUGUCGGGGCUUUCGGGCCUUGGCUUCGGUGGAAACCGCUUUAAUCGCAGUGGCUUGAACCGGGCAAAAGUCGUAACA
This 328-nucleotide ribosomal RNA is filed under the name uncultured eukaryote. RNAcentral describes it as "partial 18S ribosomal RNA". It matches the Rfam family "Eukaryotic small subunit ribosomal RNA", at positions 1470 to 1796 of the family's 1831-position model. The record is from RNAcentral.